RNAcentral lists this ribosomal RNA (425 nucleotides) under uncultured prokaryote. RNAcentral describes it as "bacterial SSU rRNA". It matches the Rfam family "Bacterial small subunit ribosomal RNA", at positions 355 to 796 of the family's 1533-position model. The record is from RNAcentral.
UGGGGAAUCUUCCGCAAUGGGCGCCAGCCUGACGGAGCAAUACCGCGUGAGGGAGGAAGGCUCUUGGGUUGUAAACCUCUUUUCUCAGGGAAGAAUCCUGACGGUACCUGAGGAAUCAGCAUCGGCUAACUCCGUGCCAGCAGCCGCGGUAAUACGGAGGAUGCAAGCGUUAUCCGGAAUUAUUGGGCGUAAAGCGUCCGCAGGUGGCUUAUCAAGUCUGCUGUUAAAGCGCAGGGCUCAACUCUGUAAGGGCAGUGGAAACUGAUAGGCUAGAGUACGGUAGGGGCAGAGGGAAUUCCCAGUGUAGCGGUGAAAUGCGUAGAUAUUGGGAAGAACACCAGUGGCGAAGGCGCUCUGCUGGGCCGUAACUGACACUGAGGGACGAAAGCUAGGGGAGCGAAAGGGAUUAGAUACCCGUGUAGUCC